Molecule: ribosomal RNA, 253 nt
Filed under: uncultured bacterium
Lineage: Bacteria
Description: partial 16S ribosomal RNA
Rfam family: Bacterial small subunit ribosomal RNA
Source: RNAcentral
UACGGAGGUUGCAAACGUUGCUCGGAAUCAUUGGGCGUAAAGCGCACGUAGGCGGUCCGGUAAGUCGGAUGUGAAAGCCCUCGGCUCAACCGAGGAAGUGCAUUCGAAACUGUCGGACUUGAGUACGGGAGAGGGAUGCGGAAUUCCCGGUGUAGAAGUGAAAUUCGUAGAUAUCGGGAGGAACACCAGUGGCGAAGGCGGCAUCCUGGACCGAUACUGACGCUGAGGUGCGAAAGCGUGGGGAGCAAACAGG